This 579-nucleotide ribosomal RNA is filed under the name Phenoliferia psychrophenolica. Its description in RNAcentral is "eukaryotic LSU rRNA". It matches the Rfam family "Eukaryotic large subunit ribosomal RNA", at positions 38 to 629 of the family's 3401-position model. Lineage: Eukaryota; Fungi; Basidiomycota; Microbotryomycetes; Kriegeriales; Kriegeriaceae. The record is from RNAcentral.
GCAUAUCAAUAAGCGGAGGAAAAGAAACUAACAAGGAUUCCCCUAGUAACGGCGAGUGAAGCGGGAAGAGCUCAAAUUUGUAAUCUGGCACCUUCGGUGUCCGAGUUGUAAUCUCGAGAAGUGUUUUCCGCGCCGGACCGCAUACAAGUCUGUUGGAAUACAGCGUCAUAGUGGUGAGAACCCCGUAACUGAUGCGGAUGCCCGGUGCUUUGUGAUACACUUUCGAAGAGUCGAGUUGUUUGGGAAUGCAGCUCAAAUUGGGUGGUAAAUUCCAUCUAAAGCUAAAUAUUGGCGAGAGACCGAUAGCGAACAAGUACCGUGAGGGAAAGAUGAAAAGCACUUUGGAAAGAGAGUUAACAGUACGUGAAAUUGUUGGAAGGGAAACGCUUGAAGUCAGACUUGCUAUUUGGAAUUCAGCCGCAAGGUGUACUUUUCAAUUCGCAGGCCAGCAUCAGUUUUCGGGGGUGGAAAAGGGUAGAGAGAAGGUAGCAAUUUCGGUUGUGUUAUAGCUCUUUGCUGGAUUCAUCCUUGGGGACUGAGGAACGCAGCACGCUUUUUGCAAGGCUUUCGAGUUCGUGC